This 167-nucleotide ribosomal RNA is filed under the name Enterococcus faecium. Its description in RNAcentral is "partial 23S ribosomal RNA". It matches the Rfam family "Bacterial large subunit ribosomal RNA", at positions 2761 to 2925 of the family's 2925-position model. Lineage: Bacteria; Bacillati; Bacillota; Bacilli; Lactobacillales; Enterococcaceae. The record is from RNAcentral.
GGGAUAAACGCUGAAAGCAUCUAAGUGUGAAGCCCACCUCAAGAUGAGAUUUCCCAUUUCUUUAAGAAAGUAAGAUCCCUGAGAGAUGAUCAGGUAGAUAGGUCAGGAGUGGAAGUACAGUGAUGUAUGGAGCGGACUGAUACUAAUCGAUCGAGGACUUAACCAAU